AGUGGCGUACGGGUGAGUAACACGUGGGUAAUCUACCUCUGAGUGGGGAAUAACCCUGGGAAACCGGGGCUAAUACCGCAUAAUCUCGAGAGAGGAAAGCAGCAAUGCGCUGAGAGAGGAGCCCGCGGCCGAUUAGCUAGUUGGUAGGGUAAGAGCCUACCAAGGCAAAGAUCGGUAGCCGGCCUGAGAGGGCACACGGCCACACUGGCACUGAAACACGGGCCAGACUCCUACGGGAGGCAGCAGUGGGGAAUCUUGCACAAUGGGGGAAACCCUGAUGCAGCGACGCCGCGUGAGCGAUGAAGCCCUUCGGGGUGUAAAGCUCUUUCGUCAGGGAAGAUGAUGACGGUACCUGGAGAAGCAGCUGCGGCUAACUACGUGCCAGCAGCCGCGGUAAUACGUAGGCAGCGAGCGUUGUUCGGAGUUACUGGGCGUAAAGGGUGUGUAGGCGGUUCUUUAAGUUUGGUGUGAAAUCUCCCGGCUCAACCGGGAGGGUGCGCCGAAUACUGAGGGACUUGGAGUGCGGGAGAGGAAAGUGGAAUUCCUGGUGUAGCGGUGAAAUGCGUAGAUAUCAGGAGGAACACCGGUGGUGUAGACGGCUUUCUGGACCGUAACUGACGCUGAGACACGAAAGCGUGGGUAGCAAACAGGAUUAGAUACCCUGGUAGUCCACGCCCUAAACGAUGCAUAUUUGGUGUGGGUCAUUCAGUUGAUCCGUGCCGGAGCUAACGCGUUAAAUAUGCCGCCUGGGGAGUACAGUCGCAAGGCUGAAACUCAAAGGAAUUGACGGGGGCCCGCACAAGCGGUGGAGCAUGUGGUUCAAUUCGA
Molecule: ribosomal RNA, 828 nt
Filed under: uncultured bacterium
Lineage: Bacteria
Description: bacterial SSU rRNA
Rfam family: Bacterial small subunit ribosomal RNA
Source: RNAcentral